AUGGGCACAAAAGACCAGUUAUUGAUUGACAAAAUGAUUCUAGAGAACCGUAAAAGCCGAAAAGCUAAUCUUCACAUGGCGUGGAUUGACUACAAAAAGGCCUUUGACUUACUCCCACACAGCUGGAUCAUCAAGUGCCUGGACGCCAUCAGGAUUAGUAAAAACAUUGGUACCUUUAUUGAAAACAUGAUGGAGCACUGGAAAACUGAACUGUUUGUUGGAAAUGAAAGCUAUGGACUUGUCAAUAUCCGAAGAGGAAUUUUCCAGAGAGACUCAUUGUCCCCUCUGCUUUUCAUUAUUGCCAUGAUCCCUCUAUCAACAAUCUUACAAAAAACAAAUCUCGGCUCUCAAACCUCUAAGAAAAUUCACAAAAUUUUGCAUCUGAUGUACAUAGAUGACCUGAAGCUGUAUGGGAAAAUGGAAACUGAAAUCCAGUCUCUGACUAACACUGUCCGAAUUUUUAGCACUGAUAUCAGCAUGGAGUUUGGUUUCCGUUUUCCCAUACAGCUUCAGGUCAUCCAUGUACAUCAGAUGCAAAAUUUUGUGAGACUUCUUAAAUGUUUGAUAGCCGAGAUUUGUUUUUUGUAAGAUUGUUGAUAGAGGGAUCAUGGCAAUAAUGAAAAGCAGAGGGGACAAUGAGUCUCCAUGGAAAAUUCCUCAUUUUGUCAAUUAAUAACUGGUCUUUUGUGCCCCUGCUUUUCCGUUUGUUGCCUUUCUGUUCAUCUGGCAAGAUAUUUUUUCUUCAAGAUAAUCUUGAAUUCUGUCAGCUUUGAUGCCAGUCAGUAGUUUAAACAUAGUGGGCAGACACGUUAUUGGCCUGUAGUUUCCUGGUGCUGCUCCUUUUGCUGGAUCCUUUUGUAUCAGGUAAGUUCUUCCAGUUGUUAGCCAUUCACUUAUACUUCCUUUCUGCAGCAUCUCAUUGAAUUGUUGGGCCAUUUUUCCAUGUAACCUAAUCAGAUGUUUGAGACAAAAUCCAUGAAGUUGAUCACUACCAGGCGAUGUCCAGUUCUUGCCUUUUUGCACUCGUUUGCUGAUCAUUUCAGUUGUUAUUUCCAUCUCUUCCAUUUUGUUCUGUGAGAAUUUUCCUUCAAACUCCUUUAUCUACCCAGCAUUUUUGUUGUAGUUCUUAUUAUUUUCCCAAAGCUCUUUCCAGAACUUCGUUGUUGCGGUUUUCUCUGGCUUUAUGGUUACUGUGUCUGUUGUUUGGUUCAGGCUCUGGUGGAACCAUCUUUGGUCUGAUUGAAACAGUUGAUUUUGUCUGUACUGGAUGAUUCUGGCUUCAUAUCUUUCAAUUUUUCUGGCUCUUGCUGUAAUUUGUUUUUUCACAAUUUCCAAAGCUUCUUCAAUUUUUCUGGUGUUCAGCCAGUACUUUCUGAUCAGGUAUUGCUUGAUUUUGUCAUUCUUCAGUUUCUUCUCUUUCAUAUUUUUCAGGUUACUUGCAUCUGAUCUGAGUUUCUUGAUUUUCAACUCUAGCCUGACCUUCCACUUUGGUUUUCCAGUCGAUUUUCUUUGGGGCUGCCUUGGUUGUAGGAGCCCAAGCUCUUCUGUUACUAUCACUGCUGCACUGUAGGCAUACUGGUUUGUUUGUUCAAUUGAUGUUAUUUGGACAGUGGAGAGUACUGUAUUCACAUCUUUCAUGAGAGGUGCCAGGUGUCUCCUGGGCAGUGUUUUUAGAGUUGGGAACCGCUUUCUUAUUGUGUUUGCUGCAGCAUGAGCAUCUUAUCCUUGAGCUCUUGUUGUCUUGCUGUCAAGGUUCCUGGUGGUUCAACAGGUGUUUCAAGUGCUGGUUCUUCAAAUUCUUGCAAAAGCUCCACACUUUCUUCUGGUUCAAUCUGUUCCAGCAUUCCAAGUGUUGCUGGAGUCUCUGCUGCUGUCUGUUUUGUGGCCUGAUGGCAAUUUGCUUUGCAGAUUUUCUGGAUUUCUUCAAGUUCAACUUCACUGAACACUUUGUUUCUGAUUAUGAAUCUUCGUUGGUCAGCCAGUCGGGAUUCUGUUAUCUGUGAGUCAGGGUACUCUUGUUUCCAUAGCUGAUGCAUCCUUUUUUGGUAGCCACGUUUUUGAGGUUCAGAGUUGUAAUAGCAUUUCAUAACUGUGCGGUUUUCUGGCAUUGUAUAUUUCUGCCACUUCUGUGACUGUUCAUUUGUAUUUUGAUUCUGUAGCCCACUUGUCGAUGGAUGUCCAGAAUCAGCAGCAUCCACCACAGUCCUUUUUAUCCUGGGCGAUGACCGAGCCAGUAUAGACUUCGUUUUGGUUUGAUUCUCCAUAAUGCUAAUGGGUUAGGUGCUCUUAGUUCUGUUCCUCAGCUGAGGCCUCUCUGGCUUGGUUGGACCUGCUGGUAGUUACACUACCGCCAGCACAGCUCUCAGCGUCCUCGGAAUGGUUAAGUCCCCUCACCACAUCAAGGUGGCACCUAUGGGGGGUUGUUGUUAUUAUUAUUAUUAUUAUUAUUAUUAUUAUUAUUAUUAUUAUUAUUAUUAUUAUUAUUUCUGGAGCAUUGAUGCCAAGAUGCAACUAGCCAUACCUGUUGUACUGCUGCAUUGGUGUCCGAAUGGUCCAUCCAGGCUGAUGUUUCAUCAUCUUCCUGGAUUA
RNAcentral lists this long non-coding RNA (2589 nucleotides) under Anolis carolinensis (green anole). RNAcentral describes it as "lncRNA (ENSACAG00000044969.1)". The record is from RNAcentral. Lineage: Eukaryota; Metazoa; Chordata; Lepidosauria; Squamata; Anolidae.